GAUCGCUGAGGUAUUGACGUGGAUUCAAUUGAAACUUAAGGCAAUUGGUUUUAUCCAAAUUAAAAAAGGGUUGUUUUACGUUUAACGUUGUUUUAUCUCCAAAAUUAUUACAAGAAAUAUUCUACUGAUGCAAUAAACAUUUAUGACUAUGACUACUAUAAUAACUUGACUGUCUUUUAUUAUUAUAAAGCCAUUUUAUAUGAUACUAUUAUUCAACUUUAAGAUAAUACAUAGCUGACUUAUCAACUUGGAAAGGUAUCAACAACUCGGAAAGCUAGCCUAUCUACCGCGAGGCGAGGCGUUUACGUUACGGUGCGGAUAAAGUGUGCGUUGCAGUAUGGAGUUUCAUACAAUGAAUACUGACUGCCUCGGGUUGAUAGGGUUACGAUCCCUUUCCGGGUUGAUAAGUGUGCCACGUCCUUUAUUAAUUAAGCUGCCUAUACAAUUAUAUUUUUAUUUACAGUAUUCAAGAUACCUAGUAUUCACGGAAAGAGGGACAUGCUUAUGGUGAACAGUUUCACUUACUCACAGUACUUACCCAACUAUUAUUAUUGCACUAAAAAGAGACUCGGAUGCAAAGCGAAACUACGCACUCACAAGGAUCAGCAGACUCUAAUUUAUUUGUUCGAGGAACACAACCACGAACCCCCGGAGUACCAUGUUACUUCAGAUGGGAGAUUCAUCAAAGUAAAAUAAAUUAGUCCGAACCUCUUCAAUGUGAGAGUGAUUAGGCACUCACAGGGAGUGUUCAAGAUACCCAGUAUUUACGGAAAGAGGGACAUGCUUAUGGUGAACAGCUUCACUUACUCACAGUACAAACCCAGUUAUUAUUAUUGCACUAAAAAAAGACUCGGGUGCAAAGCGAAAGUGCGCACCGACCAAUAUCUGAAUCUGACUUAUUUGUUCGAAGAACACAACCACGAGCCCCCGAAGUACCGUAUCACUUCAGAUGGGAAAUUCGUCAAAAUAAAUAGUUAUUAAAUUAAUCCGGACCUCUUCAAGGCGAGAGUGAAUAGGCACUUACAGGGCAGUGUUCAUUAUACCCAGUAUUCAUGGGAAGAAGGAUGUGCUAAUGGUGAACGGUUUCACUUACUCACAGCACAAACCGGGUUAUUAUUAUUGCAUUAAGAAGAGACUCGGGUGCAAAGGGAAACUGCGCACCGACCAGGAUCUGAACCUGACUUAUUUGUUCGAGGAACACAACCACGAACCCCCGGAGUACCAUGUUACUUCAGAUGGGAAAUUCAUCAAAGUAAACUAAAUUAGCUUGUCCAGCAGUGGACGUCUGCUGAAACGAACGAACGAAAACUAAAUUACUCCGAACCUCUUCAAUGUGAGAGUGAAUAGGCACUUACAGGGCAGGUAUGUACCAGCCUACACUGUAUCUCACUUAUCGUCAUGUAUGAUUGCAGUCAAAUACCUGCUUUGUGGUGCAUAAAAAAAUAAAAUAUGCCUUUGAUUAUGCCUUUUGCCCCAAAAAAAAUAAGUAUUUCAUCCAAAUCUUUAUGUAUUUUUGAUCAUACUCAGAUAUUGUUGAAUUAUAUAAAACUUCAUCUUUUCAUCUUUUGUGUACUUUUCAUAUUUUGAUUUAUUGCUUCCAAUAACGCUUCAGCUUAGCCGUACUAAUUCAACCUGUAAAUCUUAUUCUUUUCUACACAGGACAGGCAAUGCCUAGUGUGGAGGUCUGUCUUUUAGUUAUUGUAUUGUUUGAU
This is a long non-coding RNA of Ostrinia furnacalis (Asian corn borer), 1712 nucleotides long. RefSeq lists it as uncharacterized. NCBI's taxonomy places the organism in Eukaryota, Metazoa, Arthropoda, Insecta, Lepidoptera, Crambidae. The transcript is spliced from 3 exons. The record is from RefSeq and is a predicted model, not a curated record.